This is a long non-coding RNA of Brienomyrus brachyistius, 2754 nucleotides long. RefSeq lists it as uncharacterized. The transcript is spliced from 3 exons. The record is from RefSeq and is a predicted model, not a curated record. Lineage: Eukaryota; Metazoa; Chordata; Actinopteri; Osteoglossiformes; Mormyridae.
AAUAACACUGAAAUUAGCCUGGGCCAGAUAACUACCUAGCUCAAAACAUGGUAGUCUGGCCAACAUAAGCCACGUAUGACUUUGCCAUUAGUUUGCGCGACAAGGUUGAAACACGAAGACAACGGAAUCCGCAAACGCACUGAGAAUGCGCAGCAGUGAUCCGUAGCUUCGUCCACCACCCCGCUCCGACUAACAUAUAUUUGCAUGUAGUGAACUUGAAAAUGAAAAGGCAAAGUAGGAAAUGAAAAGUCAAAAAGGGUUUUUGAUUUUAUUUUAACAUUUUUGACAUCCGACUCAUACAUGAGUGGACAAUUAAAAUGCAAAUGGAGCUAUUUCAUUUUAUUUUUCAUUUUUGCAGGAUUUUUGCGCACAGACUUGGAAACUGGUCCGUGUAUAUUUUGGCCAUUCUAUUUUCGUUUUUGAAUCAGUAAUUAACAAAACAAAAACGACAGAUGAUUUGUUAUAAAGUCCAAAGUCAAAAUAUCAGAAAACAAACCAUUUUUUACAAUUUCCUUUAAAAUAUCCACAAUAAAAACUGAAGUUGACCAGAACGCGUUUUAUCGUUUUCUGGCACCGGGUGUUACGUAAAAACCGUGCGUGUGUGCACGAGCACAAGUGGCGUUACUUUCAACAUCCUGAGCACACACGUACAGCGGAACGAAGCAGGACAGGUAGUCUUAGCCAACAACACGUCUUUCGGAUAUAUAUUAUAAUGACUUGGGAGCCAUACACUGAUACCAUAUUACAAAUGGUGAAGCUAGGAUUGUCGUCCACUGAAAUUUCUACAAGGAUGUUACACCAUUUCGAGGAAUCAAGGGGUUUUUCUGCAAGGAGUAUAAGAAGAUUUUGUGCUGAACGUGGUUCAGGCUUGGGUCGGUGCUCAGACGCACGUUUAGCGCUGGAGGCUCAAAUGCUAUCAACGAGCGCGAUUCAACUUGAUUCAAUGCAAUAAUGGAUCAUUGUACACGCCUCCAACUGCACAAGAUUUGGCUGAGGGACCUGGGGUGAACUGGCCCCUGACGGCAAUGGAGAACUGGAGAUGAGAGAGAGCAUUUGAGAAAGAGCGUACAGAGGGUAAUCAGUCUAAAUAUAAAAUUAUUGGUGACAAUUCUAAAUAAUCUUUUACCGAUGCAAAGAUGAAUCCAGAUUGUACCUGGUGCCCACUUGUUAAAUUGGGGCAAUCAUUUCAUGAAGUUUAAUGUGCACUGAUGCGAGUCAGUGAAUCUUACCAUCCCUAAUACCUAUUUCCAAAUUUAGGAGCAGCCUGAGCAGGAUGGAGGGGCCCUGACAGGACAGACCGCGGCGGCUUCGGAACAAAGUAAUCUUAGAUAUCAGCCCUAUCAGAGAGAUGCAGCUGGGGAGGUCUUUAUGUAUAGAAACUUAUAGCAGUUUAUUGCUGUAUAGAAAGAACCAUCUCAAAAAUCUGAGGAAAUCCAUGAGGUCAACAAAUACAUUUUUGCAGUGUUGCAACAACUACAAUUCAAAUAACAGCAGGUAGGUUUGGGGUGUCACUGGAUUAACUGGAACUGCUAUGACCCCAAGCAGGACGCUCAGUGGACGGUGGCGAUGCCCCUCUGCGUCCGCGACCUGUCACUUGUAGAGCGGCCCUGCUGAGAUGACGAUGGAACCGUAAGGCUGCUCCUGUUCCACGCUCAGCUUUCCUGCCGUCACCAGUUCUACCAAAGCGGAGCAGCGCUCUCUGUUACCGGUAACUUCCAUGCAAUCCAACUGUGUAAAUCCUUAAUAUUCACGAGAGCAAAAAUACUGCAGCUUCCAAGCCUUUUCCUCACCUAACAAGGAAUAGAAGAACCUGGCUACGUCUCUGCGAUCAGCACCAGGAGGCAGCAGCGAGUGGAAGGUCACCGAGCCAAACUCCUCCAGGGGUUCCUGCACCUGUCUGGGAGAAUGAUGGGGCGUGAGGGUGGCACGAGAUCUAAAGGAGUCACAUUUCCCAGGACAAGAGCGAGAAGACGACGAGAGUUACUCAAGCAGGCCCUCCGCAGUCACCAUCCACUCCUUGGCCUCUCCUUCUGGAAGGAGCACUCCCUCCUCUCUUAUCUCCUCCAGGGAGGUGAAAACCUCUGCUGCUGGGGACCUUUAUAGGAGGACCCAGGGAGUCAGCAUCACUUGGGAUUGUCAGUUUGACUGUCAACUAGGCUCAUGCUGGGUCACCCCGAGGACUAGUUCCCUCCCAUAACCGCCUGCCUCCUCCUCCUGUCCCUACGCUCCUCCUGAUCUCCUGAUCUGACUUGGACCUCCAUUUCCCCUUUUUCCUCCUGCUCCCAGCGCUCUCUCACCCUCGACUCACAGACGGGACGGUGUGAGACGUGUCCCUGUCUGACACCUCCAGCAGCAGCUCGGUCGGUUCUGGAAUGGCAGUAACCAUGGUGACUUUUUACUUAGCGACUGGAGUGGAGAGGAAGGUUGUGCCCACCCACCCCCUGCCUCUGCAGCCAGUCACAGCGACAUGCAGAUAAACAGCAGUACAGGUCUCACCUGAUACAUCAGCAGGGACCAGAGCCGGCUCUGCUGCUGCUCGCGGGAUCUGGAAACGAGAGAGCAGAGAUCAGCCUCUCUCACCUGGGGUGUCACACAGACUGGGAGCUGCACCAUGGACAGGGCACAGUGAUGGGCGAGGCUGCCCUCUCCUCCGGAGCCGGAAGGACUGUCUCCUCAACCUGCAGCAGCAUGCUGUCCUCGUCUGUGACCCUGAGUCUGCCAGAAGGGGGUGCUGUAGUCAUUGCUAUCACAUCU